AUUCAGCCUGCAUUCCACGGAACCGCCCCAGACAGGCAUCUCGGGGACAUAUUUUAAGUGGAAGGCAACCAGCACCGCAUCUAAAGGAUGCCCUUUCUUCUGGAAUGCUAUAGAAGUCUAUGACUAGACAGACAAAGACACUCUGGCCUUGGGAAAAAUUGGAAAUCACCCAUUCAUUCGUUCAUUUUUCGACAAAUAUGUACUGAGAUCCUACUGCAUCCCAGGCAUCCCGCAAAGGAAUAAAGCAAAGGAGGCCCUGCCCUCAUGACCUCACAACCAGUCGCACACAGAUCGAACACGGAUAGAUCAUGGGAUGGAAUCUCCUAGCCAACUGAGAAUCACAGGCCCGUGCACUGUGGUAAUACAAGAUUGAAGGUUAAGCAAAGAAAAAGGCAGACACGCCAACCAAUUGCAGAAGUGGAUAGAAAAACAUUGCUACCAAAAAUGAAGACGAGGUUAUUCAGUCAUUGAUUCCCAUAAACCAUGCCGCUUGGAGCCACGCACAGGGGACAGCAUAGAAGCAAAUACAACGUACGGCGCUGAUCAGCACAUAAACACGUCGACUGUUACACUACCAUGGUCGGCAUGAGCAGGAAACGCAAAAGACCAAGCUUCUAUGACUUGGUCUGUUUUCCUGUAAGAAAUAAUUUAAGUCUCAGUUUCCUCAUCUCGACAUCGGGAAUAAUAAUACUUGCCCACAAGGCUUCGUUGCAGGCCUUAAAUAAGAUGAGAUUGAGCACAAGGAAAUUAAUGAUAUUAAAAGGUCUCACAGCAAGUAGUAGGCCUGAAAAGUACCGCUUUGCGAAAAAAGCAGGACGAACGCGUGUGUUCUGUAGACUGCCAUUAAACGUAAAUGUGCACAGAGACGUACAGAUCUACCGAUGUAAAGAGAGUGAGAGGGACUU
Pteropus alecto (black flying fox) is the source of this 905-nucleotide long non-coding RNA. RefSeq lists it as uncharacterized. The record is from RefSeq and is a predicted model, not a curated record. The transcript is spliced from 4 exons. NCBI's taxonomy places the organism in Eukaryota, Metazoa, Chordata, Mammalia, Chiroptera, Pteropodidae.